AUGCUUACCUGUCAGAGCAGAGAUGAUCCAGAAGGUGUUUUCCAAGGGCGAGGCUCCUCCAUUGCACUUGGGGUUUGCCAAUUCACACACCCUGUGAUUCUCCCAAAUGAUGGAAAUUCAACUGUGUGAUUUGUGGUAACUGGGGACUCUGUUCAUGCUCUCCCCUA
Molecule: small nuclear RNA, 167 nt
Organism: Grammomys surdaster
Lineage: Eukaryota; Metazoa; Chordata; Mammalia; Rodentia; Muridae
Product: U1 spliceosomal RNA
Exons: 1
Source: RefSeq, a predicted model, not a curated record